Molecule: ribosomal RNA, 116 nt
Filed under: Diadegma semiclausum
Lineage: Eukaryota; Metazoa; Arthropoda; Insecta; Hymenoptera; Ichneumonidae
Also listed under: 1 other name
Description: partial 5.8S ribosomal RNA
Rfam family: 5.8S ribosomal RNA
About the family: 5.8S ribosomal RNA (5.8S rRNA) is a component of the large subunit of the eukaryotic ribosome. It is transcribed by RNA polymerase I as part of the 45S precursor that also contains 18S and 28S rRNA.
Source: RNAcentral
AACGCAGCUAAUUGCGCGUCAACUUGUGAACUGCAGGACACAUGAACAUCGACAUUUCGAACGCACAUUGCGGUCCACGGAUACAAUUCCCGGACCACGCCUGGCUGAGGGUCGUU